AUGGAUUACAACGAAGCUUGCAAGGGAUCAUUCGAAUCCGAAAGUUGUGAGAUUGGCAAGAUUGGAGUGGCAAAAAUUGAACAUUAUGAAUCUGAACUAGAAGAAGGUGAGAUCAGAGAGGCAGAUGAGGCAUCCGGAUUAGAAAGCCCUAUCCAGAAUGGCACAGCUGCAAAUGCUGAACAGGAGCAGGUCCAUAUAAGGCAAUCAGCUUCACCGCAAAGAGCUUCUCAUAAUGUAGAGACUGCAGGUAUUGUGGUUUUGCAACAUAGAGUGAUCCACGAACACAUGCCUCCAAGCAUUGUACGCUCAUUUGUGCAAGAUACGAUUGAAAAGGAGCAGGCCCUUAUGUGGCCAUCAACUUCACCUGAAAGAGCUUCCUGUGAAGGAAGGACUGCAGGUAUUAAUUUUGUGCAGCAGUGUAAGUGUAGUGCAAUCCGCGAGAACAUGGCUGCAAGUCUUAAAGAGUCAAGCACAUCUUCUCAAGUGGUGGUUGAAGAGGAGUCAUCAACUUCAGCUGAAAGAGGUUCUCGCCUUGGAGGGACUGCAUGUACUGCUGUUGUGCAACAAUCUAAGUAUGCUGCAUCUGAGGGCCAAUAUGUUAAUGUGAGUCAGUCAACUUUGCAUAGAAAAUGUGGGAACCACCGUCGAAGCUAUUCACCAUCUAUCUAUAGUAGUUCAAAAGAAAGGCAUAAGAAAAGGAAGGAAGGAUGUUUUAGAUACUCUGAUUCCCAUUGGGCCACGAAAAUGAUUGAGGAAGUUUGUUCAGAAAGGUCCAAAACACUACUGUCACGGCAGACUGUAGAUCGGAAGAAAUUCAACAAUGAGCAAAAAAAGAAGAAGAUAGAAUUGUUCCAAAAACAUGUGAAUUCUUAUAAAUUCCAUUAUGCACAUGUUGCACCAACUAUAAGAUAUUGCAGGAUGAUGUUGCCUAAGCUACAUUCCAGCAUGUUGCGCUGCAGAUUUCAUCGACAUAUGAUAUCUCAGCUGAUAAAAUUUUAUAAACAGCUUAUACGUGACAGGGACAAAGAGAACAGAAUAAAAGAGCGCUGGAUAUUUGAGGCCAAAGCUGGCUACCUUAAGAAAUGGUUUUAUGUGACUAACUUGUCAUAUUCUAAAUUCAAGCCAGAGGAACUAGAAAGCUGUAUGGUUGACUAUUCAGAUGGUGAACAGCAUCUAAAAUAUUUUGACAUGCAAUCUAUAACCACUCAAAUUGAAGCAAUUGCCUCUAAUAAAGAACCUAGAGGCACCUUUGCAACUGAUAUUACUGUGCCCAAUCUAGAAAAUUCACCAUCAUCGCUUGAAACAAAUGAACAUACAAAGCUUGGGUUUUCAGUUGGUAUAGCAGAAGAAAUGGCCACCUUAGAAAGCAGGCCUUCACAGUACACCUGUGCUCCCUCGAUGGAGUUUUGUCAUGAAAAUCAGACACAAACUACCUUCCCGGCAGCAGAUAAAGACGAGGGAGGAGAUGUGGAGAGACCCUCUGCUUGCCAGCUUGAUGUGAGUGCAGCACUAGAACCUGCUAAGACACUGACAACAGGUAAGGCAAGUGAUGAUUGUGAGCCUACUCUAGAACACUCGCAAUUGCUGCUUGUAACGAAUGAAGCUACAAAGCCCGGGUUUUCAGUUGGUGUAUCAAAAGAAAUGGCUACCUUAGAAAGCAGCUCCUUGCAGGUAACCAGUGUGUCAGGAAUGGAGUUUCGUGAAAAAGAUGGGACCCAAAUUAUCUUCUCAGCAGCUGACAGCAAUGAGGGACGAAACACGGAGAGCCCCUGUGCUUCUCGGUUUGUCAUGAGUUCAGCAUCAGGACUUGCUAUUGCAGUGAGCACUGAUACAGAAAAUGCUGCCUCGAUUUCUAGAGAAAAACGAAGGCACAUGUGUUCUAGCAAUGAUAUUUCAGAAGGUCCAUGCAGGUCAGGGAGAAAGUUAGGUGAAAAAGAUGGGACACAUAUCUCCUUCUCACCAGCAACGCAAAUUGUCUUCUCAAUAGCAGCACAAAACGAGGGGGAAACCAUGGAGAGUCCCUGUGGUUCUCAGUCUAUCAUGAGUUUAGCAUCAGAACCUACUAUUGCAGCGAGCAAUGGUACAGAAAAUGCUGCCUCGAUUUAUAGAGAAAAACGAAGGCGCAUCGGUUCAGGCAAUGAUGAUAUUUCAGAAGGUUCAUGUUGCAGGCCAGGGAGAAAGUCUGGUGAAAAAGAUGGGACACAAAUCACCUUAUCACUAGCAACACAAAAUGAGGGGGGAGACAUGGAGAGAUCUUGUGCUUCUCAUUCUGACGCAGAUACGGCACUAAAACUUGCGAUGAUUACAGUGAACACUGAUUCAGAAAAUGCCGUGUCUGGUUCUAAUGAAAAGCAACUGGCUAUGACAGUGAACAUUGAUUCACAAAAUGCUCCAUCUGGUUCUAAUGUAAAGCAAAAGCACAUAAAUUCAGGCAAUAAUAUUUCAGAAGGUUCAUGUUCUAGGUCCGAGAUAAUGCCUACCUCGAACCUUUUCAGAACAACAUUGCGUCAAGAGGAACCUCCAGCUGUAAGAUCACCUCCACCUUCAGGUGAUAAUAGACAAGUGGUUCAAGCCGAGGAUAUAAGCGGCGAGGAAGUACCUUCCUUUGCCCAAGUUACCGAGCAGCCAAACAUGCACCUCAAUACCCAAAGUGUGAUGAACCAUCACCAUUUCGGUUCAACUUGCCAGUUUGCUAGUCCUCCAUAUCAACCACCUUGUAGGGAUACUCAUUCAGCAAGAAUUGAGGCUGACAGUGUUGGGGCAUCACAUGUUCAUCCAACGUCAGCCAAUCAGGUGCCAACAGGCUCCACUCCUGGGCCUCGUUUGGCUGAAGAUGGGCUUGAUUCAAAUCACAGUCCUGGGGCAUCACAUGUUCAUCCAGCUUCAGCUAAUCAGGUGCCAACAGGCUCCCCUCCUGGGCCAUCUUUGGCUGAAGAUGGGCUUGACUUGAAUCUAUUUACCAUUGAGUUGAGUCGAUUACAAAAGUUGGCUGAUCUGAUGACAAAAAGGCAUCAAGAGAAGAUAGAACAGCUUAAUUUGGCACGUGAAGUAGAGUUGGCUCAAGCUAAAAGGAAGUAUGACGAGCUGGAAUAUAAUUUAGAGGUAGAAACUUUACAGCGAAAGAGAGAACUUAAGAUAAAAGCUGAUAAAAUUUACAAACAGCAGAUAUUGGCUGAGGUACUACAGGUUAUAUUUAAGGCUUCUGUUAGAGUUGUUCCAGACAGUCCUAGAGGUGCUGCCCAGGAAACCAUGGCAGGGCCUAGUCGGUUGGCAGACCAGCGCAGUUUUCACAUUCCUGCACCUGUUUCAGCCCCCGGAACAUCAACAGGCGCCUCCCUCAGACAGCGGGACCUCAGACAGCGUCCCGCGACCGCGCAACGCGCUGCUAUGGACUCGAUGAAUCAUCCAAGUGGUGGCAUGGGUAAUAGACCAGCAUAA
RNAcentral lists this ribosomal RNA (3438 nucleotides) under Triticum aestivum (bread wheat). RNAcentral describes it as "partial small subunit ribosomal RNA". Lineage: Eukaryota; Viridiplantae; Streptophyta; Magnoliopsida; Poales; Poaceae. The record is from RNAcentral.